UAGACUUAGCAGAGGAGAUCAGUGGACGAUUGUUAAUUCUUUCACUCGUUCGUUAUUUGCUCAAUCACACAACUUGUUCCCUCUUCGGGCAAAAGUGAUGAAGCGGUGAAAUCGAUAGCAGAGGAGAUCAGUAGACGAUUCGCUUGUUUGACACAAGAAUCAUUUAUCGAGAGGAUCUGUAUUUGAUGACGUAGAACGCUUACUUUGAUCGAGAGGUCGAACCCUUGCAUCUUUCAUCUCCGACCAAGAAAUUUUCAAAGGCGAAUGUUCUACAGCGAAUAAUUUGAUUAGAUGUGGAGCUUUUGGGGAAGACUGAUCGAACUAUAAAGCAAGCUCGAAAUGGAAAUCUGCAGGGUUUUAAUUGCAAGAGGCGCUAAGUUUCUGAACGCCAUCUCUUUUGAUAGCUGAGCAAAGCAGUUAUUUUCUCAGAUCAGACACUGACCCUGUUGGAGAAAAGGGGAAUACUGAUGAAUGUCAUUGAUGGGCAUUCUUCUUGAUAAAGUCGUAAAUUAUAGAUUGGAGGCCAGAGAUUCAAGAAGUGAAGGCUAAAAAUUUGCUGCUGAAAAAUUAUUGUCAACCACUCUACUAAAUAGCCAAAAAAAUGAGUUAAGUCACGACUCCUGACACUUAAAUUUUGUGGAUUGAAUUGUAUCAUGCAUGUUUUUGGGGGCUGUUCUGCUUUUAGUUGUAAGUGUAAAGAGGGUGGAAAUUUGGGAGAACUUGGGAUUACUUUAAUUGAAUAGUUGUUUGUUAUUUUAACUUAUGUUUCUUGAUAGGUGGAAUAAGCUUACUGGUUGAGAAUCUAAAAGAUAAGUCUAUACCAAUAAAAGUAAGCUGAUUUGUUUUAUGUGAAUAGGAAAUUGAGGCAGAGAAGGAACUAAAAAAAGCAUUCAAGCUCUUUGACAAGAGUCCAAAUGACUAUAUAUAAGUAAGGUUUGUGUGUGUGUAUUUGUCAUGAAUUUAUUUCCAUUAAUAUGAUGCCUUCUUAUUAACAAGUUUUGUAUUGUUGCUUGUUCAUAUUAAAUAUUUCUAAUAACAUUUAACUAUUUUUUUGGGGCUAAAGCUUCUUUUGAAAAUGCUUGUAGUUGGCAGGAGGAUGUCAAAAAUAAAAAAUGAUUUGUUUAAGGAUAGUUGGUAUUCUGUGUAUAUUUGAUUAUGGGUUGGGUUGUUAGUUUUUCUGAACUUUAUGUGCUGUAAAAAGUUGCUGUAUUGGAAUUUGUUGGUGUACUAGAAUGAUGUUGUAAACACACUGUUAAAUUCAUUGUAUUUUGAAUGGUGAGAAUAUUUUUUGAGUUAUGUAACGCUUAGAUCGUUUCCAUAUUUAUA
Prosopis cineraria is the source of this 1326-nucleotide long non-coding RNA. RefSeq lists it as uncharacterized. The transcript has 2 exons. The record is from RefSeq and is a predicted model, not a curated record. Lineage: Eukaryota; Viridiplantae; Streptophyta; Magnoliopsida; Fabales; Fabaceae.